GUAGGGAAUAUUGGGCAAUGGAUGAAAGUCUGACCCAGCCAUGCCGCGUGCCGGAUGAAGGCGCUCAGCGUUGUAAACGGCUUUUAUUCGGGAAGAAGAGCAGGGAUGCGUCCCUGUGUGACGGUACCGAAUGAAUAAGCACCGGCUAACUCCGUGCCAGCAGCCGCGGUAAUACGGAGGGUGCGAGCGUUGUCCGGAUUUAUUGGGUUUAAAGGGUGCGUAGGUGGCCAAAUAAGUCAGUGGUGAAAUACGGUUGCUCAACAAUCGAGGUGCCAUUGAUACUGCUUGGCUUGAAAUAAUUGGAGGCUGCCGGAAUGGAUGGUGUAGCGGUGAAAUGCAUAGAUAUCAUCCAGAACACCGAUUGCGAAGGCAGGUGGCUACGAUUUAUUUGACACUGAGGCACGAAAGCAUGGGGAGCAAACAGGAUUAGAUACCCUUGUAGUCC
Molecule: ribosomal RNA, 445 nt
Filed under: uncultured bacterium
Lineage: Bacteria
Description: partial 16S ribosomal RNA
Rfam family: Bacterial small subunit ribosomal RNA
Source: RNAcentral